This 253-nucleotide ribosomal RNA is filed under the name uncultured bacterium. Its description in RNAcentral is "partial 16S ribosomal RNA". It matches the Rfam family "Bacterial small subunit ribosomal RNA", at positions 524 to 776 of the family's 1533-position model. The record is from RNAcentral.
UACAGAGGGUGCGGGCGUUGUCCGGAAUCACUGGGCGUAAAGGGCGCGUAGGCGGCGCGGUAAGCGUGCGGUGAAAGCCCGGGGCUCAACCCCGGGUCGGCCGUGCGGACUGCCGGGCUGGAGCACUGUAGAGGCAGGUGGAAUUCCGGGUGUAGCGGUGGAAUGCGUAGAGAUCCGGAAGAACACCGGUGGCGAAGGCGGCCUGCUGGGCAGUAGCUGACGCUGAAGCGCGACAGCGUGGGGAGCAAACAGG